This is a long non-coding RNA of Phyllopteryx taeniolatus (common seadragon), 1110 nucleotides long. RefSeq lists it as uncharacterized. NCBI's taxonomy places the organism in Eukaryota, Metazoa, Chordata, Actinopteri, Syngnathiformes, Syngnathidae. The record is from RefSeq and is a predicted model, not a curated record. The transcript is spliced from 2 exons.
GAUCAUCAAUACAUUUAAUAUGAGACGUGGAGGUCACCUUGUGAUUCAGUACGUAACUGCAAGGGAACACCUACAUGUCGCUAUUAGACCUUAACCGUCCCGACAUGAGCGGGGGUCUGGUGGGGGGGGGGUAUGCGGUUGUGCAGGGAGUGGGCCCUUAAAUGUGCUGUGGAUCCUCUUCCACAUGUAGGGAAUGUGUAUCCAAAUUGUGCCUGGUGACCAUCAGCGCAUGACGCAGCGCUAGAGGAGGCGGCGGCAACUGAGUCAGGGAAGAGAGAGAGAAGAGGGCAGGAUGAGGGAAGCGAGGAGGGGCACGCGGCCCACGCUGGAUCAGACCGGUUCUGCGAGCACUCACCACCACCCCAACGCUCCUCCUUCUUCCUUGUCUCCAGUUUCCUGUCUUCAUCGCAUUGUCUCGACAGCCGACGGGAACAUAAGUCAUAUCGUGUAAAAUAGGCAAGGAGCUUUUGUUGGAAGAAGGUGUGACUGAGAAGAAUCCAUCUUGGACGCGCAGCACAGGAUCUAGUUACUGUUGAAAAAUGGAUCAUCCGUCCUGACGGGCAGGACUGUGAAAGUCAUGUGCAGGAGCAGCAGGCGUGCGUAAACACUCAUCCAAACAUCUAAAGUAUCGACAGAUGCCAGGAGACCUCUUUAGCACAAACGUGUUCAGAUGGAAAGUCCACUGAGAGGAGUUCAUUGCAAAAUGUUUGCCCACUCUGUGACUUUAGCGCACAUUCUCAGCCCUGUAAACCAAAAACAGCUCUGCAUAACUCCAAACUGUUCCACUUAGCACCCGGCAGGGUGUCAUGAUGACCAUCAGAUGGAAGCACGCACAGUCUAUCUACGGCCUACGCAUGGCAGCACUGCGAAUCGCAUCACUGGCACAGAACAUCACGUCCUGUCCGCCCUGCAGCUGCCAGAACCAAAAUACGAGUGUCUCAUCGGUCAUUUGUUUGCCUGAUUCACCAUAGACAGGAACUGACAUUUGACACGUUUUAAUGCUUACUCUACAUACUAUUCCCUUUCUACGCAACCAGUAUGUUCCAGGUCAGUUUUGGCGCAGGUCAAGAAUAUCUUCAUAAUAAUAAAAUGAAAAUGCAUUUGAAUUUG